RNAcentral lists this unclassified non-coding RNA (405 nucleotides) under fungal sp. RNAcentral's name for it is "partial internal transcribed spacer region". The stretch from base 1 to 46 matches the Rfam family "Eukaryotic small subunit ribosomal RNA", at positions 1786 to 1831 of the family's 1831-position model. The record is from RNAcentral. Lineage: Eukaryota; Fungi.
AAGUCGUAACAAGGUUUCCGUAGGUGAACCUGCGGAAGGAUCAUUAUCACGUUAUCCACGUAUAAACCAAAUUAUAAAUGUGAACUGUUAUUUACGCCUUUGGAGAAAAAUCAAAGCUAUCAGUAGAUUGUGCUCGAUACUGGAUUUGUUCAUUAUUAUAGGUUUUGAACAACUGGUAUCAUUUAUGAGUGCUUUCUAUUGUUUGAUUACAUUCCAAAGUGUAUUAACCUAUUAACUUAUUAACCAAUUGAACCGUAACAUAGUUAAAUUCUUAUUGUCUUGAACUGAAUUGUUUCUUACUCUUUUUCAUUUAUUUGAUUGGAGAAGAAAUUCGAUUUUACGAAACAAUAAAAUAUAACUCUUAGCAACGGAUAUCUUGGUUCUCGUAACGAUGAAGAACGCAAC